This 1389-nucleotide ribosomal RNA is filed under the name uncultured bacterium. RNAcentral describes it as "bacterial SSU rRNA". It matches the Rfam family "Bacterial small subunit ribosomal RNA". The record is from RNAcentral.
AGAGUUUGAUCCUGGCUCAGAUUGAACGCUGGCGGCAUGCCUUACACAUGCAAGUCGAACGGCAGCACGGAGCUUGCUCUGGUGGCGAGUGGCGAACGGGUGAGUAAUAUAUCGGAACGUACCCUAGAGUGGGGGAUAACGUAGCGAAAGUUACGCUUAUACCGCAUACGAUCUAAGGAUGAAAGUGGGGGAUCGCAAGACCUCAUGCUCGUGGAGCGGCCGAUAUCUGAUUAGCUAGUUGGUAGGGUAAAAGCCUACCAAGGCAUCGAUCAGUAGCUGGUCUGAGAGGACGACCAGCCACACUGGAACUGAGACACGGUCCAGACUCCUACGGGAGGCAGCAGUGGGGAAUUUUGGACAAUGGGCGAAAGCCUGAUCCAGCAAUGCCGCGUGAGUGAAGAAGGCCUUCGGGUUGUAAAGCUCUUUUGUCAGGGAAGAAACGGUGAAAGCUAAUAUCUUUUGCUAAUGACGGUACCUGAAGAAUAAGCACCGGCUAACUACGUGCCAGCAGCCGCGGUAAUACGUAGGGUGCAAGCGUUAAUCGGAAUUACUGGGCGUAAAGCGUGCGCAGGCGGUUUUGUAAGUCUGAUGUGAAAUCCCCGGGCUCAACCUGGGAAUUGCAUUGGAGACUGCAAGGCUAGAAUCUGGCAGAGGGGGGUAGAAUUCCACGUGUAGCAGUGAAAUGCGUAGAUAUGUGGAGGAACACCGAUGGCGAAGGCAGCCCCCUGGGUCAAGAUUGACGCUCAUGCACGAAAGCGUGGGGAGCAAACAGGAUUAGAUACCCUGGUAGUCCACGCCCUAAACGAUGUCUACUAGUUGUCGGGUCUUAAUUGACUUGGUAACGCAGCUAACGCGUGAAGUAGACCGCCUGGGGAGUACGGUCGCAAGAUUAAAACUCAAAGGAAUUGACGGGGACCCGCACAAGCGGUGGAUGAUGUGGAUUAAUUCGAUGCAACGCGAAAAACCUUACCUACCCUUGACAUGGCUGGAAUCCUUGAGAGAUCAGGGAGUGCUCGAAAGAGAGCCAGUACACAGGUGCUGCAUGGCUGUCGUCAGCUCGUGUCGUGAGAUGUUGGGUUAAGUCCUGCAACGAGCGCAACCCUUGUCAUUAGUUGCUACGAAAGGGCACUCUAAUGAGACUGCCGGUGACAAACCGGAGGAAGGUGGGGAUGACGUCAAGUCCUCAUGGCCCUUAUGGGUAGGGCUUCACACGUCAUACAAUGGUACAUACAGAGCGCCGCCAACCCGCGAGGGGGAGCUAAUCGCAGAAAGUGUAUCGUAGUCCGGAUUGUAGUCUGCAACUCGACUGCAUGAAGUUGGAAUCGCUAGUAAUCGCGGAUCAGCAUGUCGCGGUGAAUACGUUCCCGGGUCUUGCACUCACCGCCCGUC